UUACAAUCUACUUGCUUCAUCUCGUCUUACAAGAAUAACCUUGGUAACUCUAAGGCUAAUGCUUGCAGAGAGCGGAAGGGCACUCGGUGCAGUCCAAACAGUUUAACGACAAGGUCGUCACACGGGUCUAUUGUAGUCAUCGCGCACAGAGUAGUUUGUUAACUGUAUAACCCCAUAAAGUGUACUAUUCAUACACUAAGGGGGUAGAGCUUUCGAGUUUCUGAGCCAUCAACCUAAGAUGGUAGUGUAACGGACUACCAUGGUUGUGACGGCUAACGGGGAAUCUGGGUUCGAUUCCGGAGAGGCAGCCCGAGAAACGGCUACCACAUCCAAGGAAGGCAGCAGGCACGGAAAUUACCCACUUCUAGCGCGGAGAGGUAGUGACUAGUAAUAACAGGAUGAGCCCUUCGGGGCGAACCCUGGACUGGUGAGGAGGUAUAAAUACCUCAGUAAUUCUAGCUCAGGGCAAGUCUGGUGCCAGCCGCCGCGGUAACACCAGCCUGAGCAAGCGUAUGCUUUAGUUGCUGCGUUUAAAAAGCUCAUAGUUGGAUCUAUUGGGAACAGUACUGCUCGAAGGAUCGCCAUGUGCUUUCCGGGUGCUGGCGUCCCAUCGGCCUUAUUAGGCAGUUUGCACUUCAUUGUGUACAACUGACCGAAAAAAGGAGCAAACCUUGAGAAAAUUAGAGUGCUCAAGGCGAGUUUUGGCAUUGAAUUUUAAAGCAUGGUAUAAUGGAGAUGGCCAUAAUCAGGGCGUGAGUCCAGACGGUAAUGAUUAAAAGGAACAGGCGGGGGCAUUUGUAUUGUUGGGGGAGGGGUGAAAUCCGUAGAUCCCAGCAAGACAAACUACUGCGAAAGCAUUUGCCAAGAAUGUUUUCAUUAAUCAAGAACGAAAGUUAGAGUAUUGAAGAGGAUUAGAUACCCUCGUAAUUCUAACCUUAAACUAUACCAUCUUACGCUUGGUCAAUGUAUUUAUACUUGACCAGGAGUACACCGGGAAACCAAAGACAUUUGGUUACGGGGGGAGUAUGGUUGCCAAAUCGAAACUUAAAGGAAUUGACGGAGGGGCACCACCAGGAGUGGAGCCUGCGGCUUAAUUUGACUCAACACGGGGAAACCCACCAGGUCCAGACAUCUUAAGGAUUGACAGAUAGAAUCUCUUUCACGAUUAGAUGGGCGGUGGUGCAUGGCCGUUCUUAGUUAGUGGAGUGAUCUGUCUGGUUAAUUCCGAUAACUAACGAGAUCUCAUCCAUCUAACUAGUAGAUAUUAAUUUAUUAAUAUCAAGACUUCUUAGAGGGACCACGUACUAUAUAAUAGUACGAGUGAAGUGAGGUUAUAACAGGUCUGUGAUGCCCUUAGAUGUCCUGGACCGCACGCGCGCUACAAUGAUAGCUUUAAUGGGUUUAUCUAACCUAAGCCGAGAUGGUUUUGGGAAAUCGUUAAAAGUAUCUCGAUUCUUAGUGGGGAUCAACUCUUGUAACUAGUAGUUGUGAACUAGGAAUUCCUGGUACUUAGAUUUCACCAGAAUCUAGGGAUUACGUCCCUGCCCUUUGUACACACCGCCCGUCGCUACUACUGAUUGGACGGUUAAGCUAGAUGCUGGGAAGCCUUCUUUUGACACUUCGGUGGCAACUGAAGGACGAACAGUUUCAAGCUGAACUGGCUAGA
This 1666-nucleotide ribosomal RNA is filed under the name Acoela sp. Asp2. RNAcentral describes it as "SSU rRNA". It matches the Rfam family "Eukaryotic small subunit ribosomal RNA". The record is from RNAcentral. Lineage: Eukaryota; Metazoa; Xenacoelomorpha; Acoela.